Molecule: long non-coding RNA, 445 nt
Filed under: Cicer arietinum (chickpea)
Lineage: Eukaryota; Viridiplantae; Streptophyta; Magnoliopsida; Fabales; Fabaceae
Description: long non-coding RNA (CARI_LNC001107)
Source: RNAcentral
CUGCAAUCACCAGACACAAACAAUGUUAAACAAGACAGAUACGAACAACAAAAUUACUAAUAGGAUAAGAAAUACAAUUCAAGACUGUUCUAGAAAUAACAACAUAACAUAGGAGCAAGGACUUACAUUUUCUUCGAUGUAGUUUAAGCAACCAUCAUUGGGGACGAAUGCAGCAAUCUUUUUUCCAUUCUUGAUGAGUUGAACCCUAGCACACUUACGAAUAGCAGAGUUGGGCUGUUUAGCCUCAAUACCACUGAAGAUAAAACACAAUGUUAGCAUAAAAUUCUAUCAUCAUUCAAAUUUCAGGUAAAAUACAUAAAUAAAUAUAAAACAUAACCACUCUUACAUCUUUUCAAGGACAAUUCCCUUUGCGUGAGAUGACCCAGCAAAAGGUUUCUUCCAUUCAUUUCCAAGAUGAGACUUCUUGUAUGACUUGUCAGCCCAC